RNAcentral lists this transfer RNA (66 nucleotides) under Thienemanniella curva. RNAcentral describes it as "tRNA-Ser". The record is from RNAcentral. Lineage: Eukaryota; Metazoa; Arthropoda; Insecta; Diptera; Chironomidae.
AAUCAAUGAGCUUGAAUAAGCAUAUGUUUUGAAAACAUAAGAUAAAAGAACUAAUUUUAUUGAUUU